AGUGAACGCUGGCGGUAGGCCUAACACAUGCAAGUCGAACGGCAGCACAGUAAGAGCUUGCUCUUACGGGUGGCGAGUGGCGGACGGGUGAGGAAUACAUCGGAAUCUACUUUUUCGUGGGGGAUAACGUAGGGAAACUUACGCUAAUACCGCAUACGACCUACGGGUGAAAGCAGGGGAUCUUCGGACCUUGCGCGAUUGAAUGAGCCGAUGUCGGAUUAGCUAGUUGGCGGGGUAAAGGCCCACCAAGGCGACGAUCCGUAGCUGGUCUGAGAGGAUGAAUAGCCAACAUUGAAAUUAGGAAAGGGUCCAACUCCGAACGGGAGCAGCCGUUGGGAAUUAUGGACAAAGGGCCGAAGCCUGAACCAGCCCUUCCGGCGUGGUGAAAAAAGGCCUUGGGUUUUUAAGCCCUUUUUGUGGGAAAGAAAAAGAGCCAGGUAAUACCCCGCUGUUCUGACGGUACCCAAAGAAUAAGCACCGGCUAACUUCGUG
Molecule: ribosomal RNA, 492 nt
Filed under: uncultured bacterium
Lineage: Bacteria
Description: partial 16S ribosomal RNA
Rfam family: Bacterial small subunit ribosomal RNA
Source: RNAcentral